This 434-nucleotide ribosomal RNA is filed under the name uncultured bacterium. RNAcentral describes it as "partial 16S ribosomal RNA". It matches the Rfam family "Bacterial small subunit ribosomal RNA", at positions 29 to 508 of the family's 1533-position model. The record is from RNAcentral.
AGCGAACGCUGGCGGCAGGCCUAACACAUGCAAGUCGAACGAACCUUUCGGGGUUAGUGGCGGACGGGUGAGUAACACGUGGGAACGUGCCUUUAGGUUCGGAAUAACUCAGGGAAACUUGUGCUAAUACCGAAUGUGCCCUUCGGGGGAAAGAUUUAUCGCCUUUAGAGCGGCCCGCGUCUGCUUAGCUAGUUGGUUGAGGUAAUGGCUCACCAAGGCGACGAUCAGUAGCUGGUCUGAGAGGAUGAUCAGCCACAUUGGGACUGAGACACGGCCCAAACUCCUCCGGGAGGCAGCGGGGGGGAUUCUUGCGCAAUGGCGAAAAGCCGGACCCAGCAUUCCCGGGGGAAGGAUGAAGUUUUUGGGAUUGUAAAUUUUUUCCCCGGGGAAUGAUAAUGGGGGUCCGGGAAAAAGAGCCCCCGGCAACUUUGGUC